RNAcentral lists this small RNA (685 nucleotides) under Pongo abelii (Sumatran orangutan). RNAcentral's name for it is "retained intron". The record is from RNAcentral. Lineage: Eukaryota; Metazoa; Chordata; Mammalia; Primates; Hominidae.
CGCACUGGGCCCAGAUGAUGGUUUUGAGACUUCUCCAGAACCGACACAUCAAGACGGACUGAUUUGCAGGGGAAGGAGGCUAGGAAAAUUGGGAAUCGAAAAAAAAAUGGUGGUUUUGAAGGAAAGGUGGAGGGCCAGGUGGAGGGAGACCUGGGAUCUCACACCCCUUUUUCUGUCCCCCCUGACAGUGGGCGCUCUACCUGUUCCUGGUUAAAUGCAUGAUCAGCGUUUCCACCUUCUUACUCCUCUGCCUCAUCGUGGCCUUUCAUGCCAAAGAGGUCCAGCUGUUCAUGACCGACAACGGGCUGCGGGACUGGCGCGUGGCGCUGACCCGGCGGCAGGCGGCGCAGAUCGUGCUGGAGCUGGUGGUGUGUGGGCUGCACCCGGCGCCCGUGCGGGGCCCGCCGUGCGUGCAGGAUUUAGGGGCGCCGCUGACCUCCCCGCAGCCCUGGCCGGGAUUCCUGGGCCAAGGGGAAGCGCUGCUGUCCCUGGCCAUGCUGCUGCGUCUCUACCUGGUGCCCCGCGCGGUGCUCCUGCGCAGCGGCGUCCUGCUCAACGCUUCCUACCGCAGCAUCGGAGCUCUCAACCAAGUCCGCUUCCGCCACUGGUUCGUGGCCAAGCUUUACAUGAACACGCACCCUGGCCGCCUGCUGCUCGGCCUCACGCUUGGCCUCUGGCUGACCAC